RNAcentral lists this ribosomal RNA (253 nucleotides) under uncultured bacterium. RNAcentral describes it as "partial 16S ribosomal RNA". It matches the Rfam family "Bacterial small subunit ribosomal RNA", at positions 524 to 776 of the family's 1533-position model. The record is from RNAcentral.
GACGAACCGUGCGAACGUUGUUCGGAAUCACUGGGCUUAAAGGGCGCGUAGGCGGGUUCGCAAGUCUGUGGUGAAAGCCCCCAGCUUAACUGGGGAAGUGCCGUGGAUACUGCGAAUCUUGAGGAGGGUAGGGGCAUCUGGAACGGUCGGUGGAGCGGUGAAAUGCGUUGAUAUCGACCGGAACUCCGGUGGCGAAGGCGAGGUGCUGGACCCUUUCUGACGCUGAGGCGCGAAAGCGUGGGGAGCAAACAGG